GAUGAGAACGUAGUGAAAUGCGAUAAGUAGUGUGAAUUGCAGAAUUCAGUGAAUCAUCGAAUCUUUGAACGCACAUUGCGCCCAUUGGUAUUCCAAAGGGCAUGCCUGUUCGAGCGUCAUUUGUACCCUCAAGCUUUGCUUGGUGUUGGGCGUCUUGUCUCUAGCUUUGCUGGAGACUCGCCUUAAAGUAAUUGGCAGCCGGCCUACUGGUUUCGGAGCGCAGCACAAGUCGCACUCUCUAUCAGCAAAGGUCUAGCAUCCAUUAAGCCUUUUUUUCAACUUUUGACCUCGGAUCAGGUAGGGAUACCCGCUGAACUUAAGCAUAUCAAUAAGCGGAGGA
Molecule: unclassified non-coding RNA, 340 nt
Filed under: soil metagenome
Description: partial contains 5.8S ribosomal RNA, internal transcribed spacer 2, and large subunit ribosomal RNA
Rfam family: 5.8S ribosomal RNA (bases 5-119)
Source: RNAcentral